UACGUAGGGUGCGAGCGUUAAUCGGAAUUACUGGGCGUAAAGCGUGCGCAGGCGGUUCUCCAAGUCCGUUGUGAAAGCCCCGGGCUCAACCUGGGAAUGGCAGUGGAAACUAGGGGACUGGAAUCUGGCAGAGGGGGGUGGAAUGCCGCGUGUAGCAGUGAAAUGCGUAGAGAUGCGGCGGAACACCGGUGGCGAAGGCAGCCCCCUGGGCUGAGAUUGACGCUCAGGCACGAAAGCGUGGGGAGCAAACAGG
RNAcentral lists this ribosomal RNA (253 nucleotides) under uncultured bacterium. Its description in RNAcentral is "partial 16S ribosomal RNA". It matches the Rfam family "Bacterial small subunit ribosomal RNA", at positions 524 to 776 of the family's 1533-position model. The record is from RNAcentral.